RNAcentral lists this ribosomal RNA (494 nucleotides) under uncultured bacterium. RNAcentral's name for it is "partial 16S ribosomal RNA". It matches the Rfam family "Bacterial small subunit ribosomal RNA", at positions 28 to 507 of the family's 1533-position model. The record is from RNAcentral.
GACGAACGCUGGCGGCGUGCUUAACACAUGCAAGUCGAACGGAAAGGCCUGCUUUCCCUUGUGGAUUGCGGGUCCUCGAGUGGCGAACGGGUGAGUACCACGUGAUUUAUUUUCCCCCAACUUGGGUAUAAGCCUGGGAAACUGGGUCUAAUUCCCGAUAGGACUGCAGGGUGGUGCCUGUGGUGGAAAACUGUUUUCUUGUGGUUGGGGAUGAGCUCGCGGCCUAUCAGCUUGUUGGUGGGGUACUGGCCUACCAAGGCGGCGACGGGUAGCCGGAGUGGGAGCGGCGACGGGCAAAUUGGGACUGAGAUACGGCUCAGACUCGUACGGGAGGCAGCAGUGGGGAAUAUAGCAGAAUGGGCGGGAGCCUGAUGCAGCGAGGCCGUGUGGGAGAUGACAGCGUUGGGGUUGUAAACUCCUGUGGAAGAAGAGGAGGCGACUUGGUUGGAAGGGUGGUGACGGUAGUGGUAGAAGAAGCACCGGCUAACUACGUG